This 746-nucleotide long non-coding RNA is filed under the name Felis catus (domestic cat). RNAcentral's name for it is "lncRNA (ENSFCAG00000048730.1)". The record is from RNAcentral. Lineage: Eukaryota; Metazoa; Chordata; Mammalia; Carnivora; Felidae.
AAAUUUUUAAAGAAAAUAAGGAGAAUGUAUCAGCUAGCUAUUGCUGCAUAACAAACUAUAACAAAAUUUAAGUGACUCAAAACUGUCACUAUUUAUUUGUUCAUGUUUCUGCAGACUGACAAUUUAGGUGAGGGUCAGCAGUUUAAUCAUUAAAACAUGUAUGAGUUACUUCUUAUGGUCUUUAAGAAAAUGAGAUUUCACAAUGCCUGCACUUGUAGGAGAAAUUGAAUCUGUUUACUGAAGUGAAUUGAUUCUUUAGAAAAAAAAAUCAGAUCUAUACACCAUGGAAGGCUUUAGGGAAAAAACACGAGUAGACGACCAAAGUUGAGAUACCAAUAUUCUUCUCACUCUUUAUCCAUUAAACAUUAUUGCUUCACAGCCCUGUAAGUAAGAGGCAGGGAUCAAUUAUUCUUUCUGCCUAAGACCUCCUUUCAAUUGCAGAUCCCUUCUUUUCUCCCUAGGACAAGAAGCCAGAAGCAGGAUAAAAGAAACUUGCCAACUGAUAUUGGUCUCCAAUUUCUACUAAACAGAAUAGUGAAGGAGGAACAGGAGCCCAAUGAGUAUUCACAGGUGAAAUCUUAUUUUAUAGAAGUGCUGCCUCAUUCACCUUUCUCUUAACUACCAGUCAUCACAUUGAAGACACCAAAGAGCCGUCAUGAGCCUUAACUGAGAAAGUGCCAUAACAAGGUGAAAUACUGCAAGGGCCAGUCCAAGCAUCACUUCCGAGCUGUCACCAAGCAUUCCCU